RNAcentral lists this ribosomal RNA (497 nucleotides) under uncultured bacterium. RNAcentral describes it as "partial 16S ribosomal RNA". It matches the Rfam family "Bacterial small subunit ribosomal RNA", at positions 28 to 507 of the family's 1533-position model. The record is from RNAcentral.
GAUGAACGCUGGCGGCGUGCCUAAUACAUGCAAGUCGAGCGAACAGACGAGGAUCUUGCUCCUCUGACGUUAGCGGCGGACGGGUGAGUAACACGUGGAUAACCUACCUAUAAGACUGGGAUAACUUCGGGAAACCGGAGCUCAUACAGGAUAAUAUAUUGAACCUCAUGGUUCAAUAGUGAAAGACGGUUUUGCUGUCACUUAUAGAUGGUUCCUCGCCGCAUUAGCUAGUUGGUAAGGUAACGGCUUACCAAGGCAACGAUGCGUAGCCGACCUGAGAGGGUGAUCAGCCACACUGGAACUGAGACACGGUCCAGACUCCUACGGGAGGCAGCAGUAGGGAAUCUUCCGCAAUGGGCGAAAGCUUGACGGAGCAACGCCGCGUGAGUGAUGAAGGUCUUCGGAUCGUAAAGCUCUGUUAGUAGGGAGGAACAAAUGUAUAAGUAACUAUGCCCGUCUUGACGGUACCUAAUCAAAAAGCCACGGCUAACUUCGUG